AGUGAACGCUGGCGGCAGGCCUAACACAUGCAAGUCGAACGGCAGCACAGUAAGAGCUUGCUCUUACGGGUGGCGAGUGGCGGACGGGUGAGGAAUACAUCGGAAUCUACUUUUUCGUGGGGGAUAACGUAGGGAAACUUACGCUCAUACCGCAUACGACCUACGGGUGAAAGCAGGGGAACUUCGGACCUUGCGCGAUUGAAUGAGCCGAUGUCGGAUUAGCUAGUUGGCGGGGUAAAGGCCCACCAAGGCGACGAUCCGUAGCUGGUCUGAGAGGAUGGUCAGCCACACUGGAACUGAGACACGGUCCAGACGCCUACGGGAGGCAGCAGUGGGGAAUAUGGGACAAUGGGCGCAAGCAUGAUCCAGCGAUACCGCGUGGGUGAAGAAGGCCUUCGGGUUGUAAAGCCCUUUUGUUGGGAAAGAAAAGCAGCAGGUUAAUACCCCGCUGUUCUGACGGUACCCAAAGAAUAAGCACCGGCUAACUUCGUG
Molecule: ribosomal RNA, 492 nt
Filed under: uncultured bacterium
Lineage: Bacteria
Description: partial 16S ribosomal RNA
Rfam family: Bacterial small subunit ribosomal RNA
Source: RNAcentral